UGCAUGUGGUGGUUGGCCAAGGUGCGGCGGCCGUUGUGUGUCUUGGCAGAGCACCUUGUUGGGUCACAGUUCAGCAGCGGAGCUUUAAAUGAGGAGGACGGCCGCUUCCUCCUCUGUCAGCGUUACCUGCUCUCUCACUUACAGACCCUGGGCUGCUUUCAUCGGCGAGGAGCAAAAAAGUAACUGUGGAUCCCUCCACCCAGGCCACAAAGACAUCAAGCACAGAGCGGCAGGCACGCUGAGCUUUUCCAGUCUCCCCCGGAGAGUAUUACAAAAACCAAAAGGUUUUUUUGAUCGGGUUUGGACGGGAGGCGACAUACCGGGGGAUGAAAUGGAGAAACGGAUCCGCCCCCCUGUGGCUCACCAGCGCGUCCUAACGCCACGACACUCCUGAGCCCCGAAGCCGCGGAGCCUUCACCAGUGAGGCCUCAUGGAAAAACCCAAGUGGACACUGCGAGGAGGCCCAGCUCUGUGGUCCUGGCAGGGGAAUAUGAUGUGAUAAACACACAGUGAACCUUCAAACCAGCGCAGUCAGCCGGUGCCCGGUGGUGAUGGUGAGAGGCCGGCAGUGAGGUUUUCAUGCACUGUGUGUGUGUGAGGGAGGGGGGGGGGGGGGGGAUCUGCAGGGCACAUACUGUUCCCGGAAGCAUCGGUGGGUCACAGAAGAUGGAAAGAAAGCACGUUUAUUAUCUGUGUGGAGCGGGCGGAGGCAGCAGUGACAUCCUCCUGUCGCUGUUUAUGAAAAACAGGCCUAAUUAUCCGGCCCAGGCCGCCUGCUGCAGCUAUUCUGGUCUGUAGCGAGCAGGUGACCCGUGUCACAGCAAACUGGGUCAUGUGUUCGCACGUCAUCCCCCGUCUAACCCGAGUGUGCCCCCGCUUGUUUUUCAAUUAAAGGCCGACCAUUGCUGCGUUAGUUCCUGUUUGAAUCUGUAGCCGGCGGACAUCGUCCAUGCUGUGCACUUGGGGGGCCGGUCCGUGUGUGUGAUGGAGCUGCGCAUUGUAAAACCAGCCUUUAGAGCAGCGGAGGACACGUGCACUGCUGGAUUCAUAUAUGGGCCGCCACAGGGAGGGAGCACAUUAACAUUUAUUCUUUAAUAAAUUAUCUUUUUAAAUAGUUAAAUCAUGGGAAUAUUCUCUCAGUUGAUAGCGGCUGGUAUAUAUAUAUAUGUAUAUAUAUAAAUAUAUAUAUAUAUGUAUAUACUGUAUGCGGUCUUUCAGUUUUUGAAAGUGUUGAUUUGUAGAGAAAUUGUUUUAUCAACGUUUGUCUGUCAGUAUUAGUUUGGGUAAAAAUGCACAUUCAAGAGGAUU
Molecule: long non-coding RNA, 1308 nt
Organism: Gasterosteus aculeatus aculeatus (three-spined stickleback)
Lineage: Eukaryota; Metazoa; Chordata; Actinopteri; Perciformes; Gasterosteidae
Source: Ensembl